UUUUGGGGAAUGACUUUUUAAUAGCAGAUGCUCUAGAAACAACAAAGAAGCUGACUACUAACUUUUCAGAACCUGGCGGUUUGUAUGUAAUUGCAUUUUUUUCAUUAUGGUUUUGUAUCCUCCUUCAUUCUUGAAAUGGAAUCGACUCCCCUCUUAGACAAUAAUGGGAAAUUGAACAACUGCUGAGACAAUGAAUUUCCCCCCAUAACAUACAUGAAGCUCCUCAAAGAGUACAUGAGAGAGAUGCUCUCUUUUCCACUGCUUGCUCUCAAUCACCUGGUCCCUAAAUUGGACUACAGUUAGGACUACAAUUUGACUGCUAUUUAUAUUCCUACCAGAUUUAUGAGUGAUUUUCUUAAAAAAUGAGGGGACGUACUCUCCAUAUCUUCUAUAUUACUUGUUGGGAAACCACACAAUUCCGUCUGGUGAGAUAUACCUUGACAUAGAAACUCAUUAAUCUAUUCCUUAAUUAAUAUGUCUAAGCAUUCCUAAUA
Molecule: long non-coding RNA, 494 nt
Filed under: Bos taurus (domestic cattle)
Lineage: Eukaryota; Metazoa; Chordata; Mammalia; Artiodactyla; Bovidae
Description: long non-coding RNA NONBTAT022122
Source: RNAcentral